This 468-nucleotide ribosomal RNA is filed under the name uncultured bacterium. RNAcentral describes it as "partial 16S ribosomal RNA". It matches the Rfam family "Bacterial small subunit ribosomal RNA", at positions 28 to 507 of the family's 1533-position model. The record is from RNAcentral.
GGCGAACGCUGGCGGCGUGCUUAACACAUGCAAGUCGAACGGAAAGGCCCUGCUUUUGUGGGGUGCUCGAGUGGCGAACGGGUGAGUAACACGUGAGUAACCUGCCCUUGACUUUGGGAUAACUUCAGGAAACUGGGGCUAAUACCGGAUAGGAGCUCCUGCUGCAUGGUGGGGGUUGGAAAGUUUCGGCGGUUGGGGAUGGACUCGCGGCUUACCAGCUUGUUGGUGGGGUAGUGGCUUACCAAGGCUUUGACGGGUAGCCGGCCUGAGAGGGUGACCGGCCACAUUGGGACUGAGAUACGGCCCAGACUCCUACGGGAGGCAGCAGUGGGGAAUAUUGCACAAUGGGCGGAAGCCUGAUGCAGCAACGCCGCGUGCGGGAUGACGGCCUUCGGGUUGUAAACCGCUUUCGCCUGUGACGAAGCGUGAGUGACGGUAAUGGGUAAGGAAGCACCGGCUAACUACGUG